This 504-nucleotide ribosomal RNA is filed under the name uncultured bacterium. RNAcentral's name for it is "bacterial SSU rRNA". It matches the Rfam family "Bacterial small subunit ribosomal RNA", at positions 29 to 524 of the family's 1533-position model. The record is from RNAcentral.
AACGAACGCUGGCGGCGCGCCUAAUACAUGCAAGUCGAGCGAGAAGGUGUAGCAAUACACUUGUAAAGCGGCGAACGGGUGAGGAAUACAUGGGUAACCUACCCUCGAGUGGGGAAUAACUAGCCGAAAGGUUAGCUAAUACCGCAUACGAUUCCAGGACUUCGGUCCUGGAAGGAAAGCACUACCGUGGGUAGUGCGCCCCUGGAUGGGCUCAUGUCCUAUCAGCUUGUUGGUGAGGAAAGGCUCACCAAGGCUUCGACGGGUAGCUGGUCUGAGAGGACGAUCAGCCACACUGGCACUGCGACACGGGCCAGACUCCUACGGGAGGCAGCAGUAAGGAAUAUUGCGCAAUGGGCGAAAGCCUGACGCAGCGACGCCGCGUGGGGGAUGAAGGUCUUCGGAUUGUAAACCCCUUUCGGGAGGGAAGAGGGAAUGGGGCGAACCCAUUCGGACGGUACCUCCAGAAGCAGCCACGGCUAACUUCGUGCCAGCCGCCGCAGUAAC